This 1180-nucleotide long non-coding RNA is filed under the name Capra hircus (goat). RNAcentral's name for it is "lncRNA (ENSCHIG00010028802.1)". The record is from RNAcentral. Lineage: Eukaryota; Metazoa; Chordata; Mammalia; Artiodactyla; Bovidae.
GGGCGUCAGAAGUUGGGCCACUGUGUAUUUUCCCCCAAGUUCUCCCCUGGAUGCUUUGGGAAAUGUGGCCCCCAGAAAUGUGCCAGGAGUCCCAGUGUCCAGAAAGUACAUGGAGGGGAGCCUUUGAACUGGGGUGGACAACUCAUUCUUUGCAAUGGAAAUUGUCCUAGACUCCCAGGAAGACUGAGAACUCACCACUAAGUGAGUUAAGUUCUUGGUAUUUCACCCAUGUGGUAAUGUACGUAGACUCUGGACCUCAAACCCGGGCUCUGCCACUUACCCUCUGUGUGCUCUUAGGCAAGUCAUUGCACUUCUCUGUGCCUCAGCCUCUCAAUCCGUAAAAUGGUAUGACAACAAUGGUCACCUACCUGACAGAUAAUUGUGAGCAGCAAAUGGGUUAAUGCAUUUAAAGCUGUGCUUGGUUCAGAAGUAGAAACUCAGGAGGAGAUGGAUCAGGGUCAGAUCAGGUACUAUGAGACCAAGUUUUCCACCCAGCUUGGAGCCCAGAUACAGUGUCCUCAAUUCUCCCAAGCCAAUCAGCAGGACUUUCAACCCAAACCUCUACAGGGUACUGACCAGCGGGAAAGGGGGAGAUGCUGCCAAGACCUGGCUCCUUUUUGAUCUUUAUUUAAAGGGGAUUAGGAAAUCCUGUAGAAAUGAAAAAGNCUAAAGUGAGACUACCGUAAGGGUAGAAUUUUUAAAGCAGGCAGAUCAAAGAGGUACCUCUCGGUGCUUCCAGCAUCCGAAGCUAGCCUUUUCAUCAGCCUUCAGAGUGCCUGGAGGUCAGUGGACAACGGUGUGGUUUGUCCCUCCCAACCCCCUGUGCUUUCCAGUCAGCAGAGCUCCACAGCUUGUUUUUCUCCCUGCAACACAAAAAGGGAAAGAAGCAAGCUUCCAGUGACUGCUUGGCUGUGUGCCCCACAUGGGGCCAGCAUGUCGCUUGCAUCACCUCAUUUAUCCCUGUGACAACUUUGUAAGGUAAAGAGUAUUAUGCCCUUGAUUCAAAUGAAGAAGUUAGCUCUCAGACCAACUGUCUCUUGCUUCCGGUCAUACCCCUUGACAAAUGGGCAGCCAAGAUUCAAAUCCAGUUCUGCUCCCAACACACACACUCUUCCCAUUGUCUGAUGGGGAAAUCACCUUGGGUGCUGAGCUCCCACAAAAGUAUAAGACAAUUUGGGAA